CUAGUUGGUGAGGUAACGGCUCACCAAGGCGACGAUCAGUAGCUGGUCUGAGAGGAUGAUCAGCCACAUUGGGACUGAGACACGGCCCAAACUCCUACGGGAGGCAGCAGUGGGGAAUAUUGGACAAUGGGCGCAAGCCUGAUCCAGCCAUGCCGCGUGAGUGAUGAAGGCCCUAGGGUUGUAAAGCUCUUUUGUGCGGGAAGAUAAUGACGGUACCGCAAGAAUAAGCCCCGGCUAACUUCGUGCCAGCAGCCGCGGUAAUACGAAGGGGGCUAGCGUUGCUCGGAAUCACUGGGCGUAAAGGGUGCGUAGGCGGGUCUUUAAGUCAGGGGUGAAAUCCUGGAGCUCAACUCCAGAACUGCCUUUGAUACUGAGGAUCUUGAGUUCGGGAGAGGUGAGUGGAACUGCGAGUGUAGAGGUGAAAUUCGUAGAUAUUCGCAAGAGCACCAGUGGCGAAGGCGGCUCACUGGCCCGAUACUGACGCUGAGGCACGAAAGCGUGGGGAGCAACCAGGAUUAGAUACCCUGGUAGUCCACGCCGUAAACGAUGAAUGCCAGCCGUUAGUGGGUUUACUCACUAGUGGCGCAGCUAACGCUUUAAGCAUUCCGCCUGGGGAGUACGGUCGCAAGAUUAAAACUCAAAGGAAUUGACG
RNAcentral lists this ribosomal RNA (652 nucleotides) under uncultured Alphaproteobacteria bacterium. RNAcentral's name for it is "SSU rRNA". It matches the Rfam family "Bacterial small subunit ribosomal RNA", at positions 245 to 915 of the family's 1533-position model. Lineage: Bacteria; Pseudomonadati; Pseudomonadota; Alphaproteobacteria. The record is from RNAcentral.